AAGUCGUAACAAGGUUUCCGUAGGUGAACCUGCGGAAGGAUCAUUAACAAAUUCUACAUUUACCACCUGUGCACGGCCCUACGGGGAGUUGGGCGGCGCCGACACAUCAAGCAUGCGUUGGGAUCGCCCGACACAUCAACCAUGAACGUCUAUUUUAAAAUUUAUCGAAACAACUUUUAACAAUGGAUCUCUUGGCUCUU
This 200-nucleotide unclassified non-coding RNA is filed under the name Phylloporus sp. RNAcentral's name for it is "partial contains small subunit ribosomal RNA, internal transcribed spacer 1, and 5.8S ribosomal RNA". The stretch from base 1 to 46 matches the Rfam family "Eukaryotic small subunit ribosomal RNA", at positions 1786 to 1831 of the family's 1831-position model. The record is from RNAcentral. Lineage: Eukaryota; Fungi; Basidiomycota; Agaricomycetes; Boletales; Boletaceae.